Phytophthora infestans T30-4 is the source of this 72-nucleotide non-coding RNA. The record is from the annotation of a RefSeq genome assembly. NCBI's taxonomy places the organism in Eukaryota, Oomycota, Peronosporomycetes, Peronosporales, Peronosporaceae.
GCUCUUAUAGCUUCAUGGUAGAGCGCUGGCUUUGCACGCGACAGGUCUGUGGUUUAAUCCCACUCGAACCCA